UGUAUAUAUAUUUGCAUAUACAUUAGUGCAAACACACAUGCAUAUAUGCAUAUACAGGAAUAACUGAGAAUUACUGAUUGAGGUUUGAUCUUUUAUGGCUCAUCAGUGGCUGAUUAGUGCAGACUGAAUGCUGGGGAUCUCUUUGACUGGAGACUCAGCUUUCUGACAACAGAAAUUCCCUACAUGCUGCCAAACACAAUUUCCCUAGAAAGUCUCCUGCAUUUUUUCAUCCCAGCAAUCAAUAACGUGUGGCCUGCUCCCAUGGAGCACGUAACUAUAUUAGGGUUUUGUACUUCAGUUGAAUUUGUAUCUCCAUUGAAUUUAAAGUUUGCAGGACCACGUGUAAUAUCCAAGCAAACACAAAAGCUAAUGGUAUAGGCCACACCUGGCCAGAUUCAAUAUUGAAUGCCUGUGUGAAUAAUGGCAUCAUUGUGUCAGGCAGAGUUUACAAUGGAAAUUCAGAGCAGCUACAGGUGGUUUGAAAUCAAACAAAAAAAAAAAAAAAGUCCGAUUACUCAGUGAGCUUUCUAAAACAUGUUUGCAAAUCAGUAUCAGCUGAUGAUCAGUUCUUUUAGGUAAGUAGCCAUCUGUUACCCAUCAUGUGCUUUCAGUAAAUAAGAAUCCUCUGUGGGUAGUCUGUGUGCUUUGGGAUUCUUCCUGGAUGUCUGAUCUGCUCUUGAAGUAAGGCUUGUAGAUAGACUGCAGUCUUGCCCUUGCUUUCAGGUUUCCUGGAAAGACCCCACAACAGGUGCUGUUUGAGGAGUAAGGGGACUCCCUGACAAGAGUUGCAUUGGUAUGAAAAAGAAAUUAUUUGGCUUGGUGGAUGCAGGACUCCCUUUCCUUGUUUUGCUGGUAUACAGAAAUCCUAACAGUAUUCCUGUCGUUGGGGGCCACACUGCUUUCUAAGUUUUCCUGUCCUGAAGAAUUUGAAUGAUAUGGAGCACUUUCCACUGCUCAGCUUUACCAGGUUUGGGUUGCCACUGAAACAGCACCUCUGGUUUUACAAUAACAUCCGCACACCCAGUCAUAAGGUUCCUGAUGCAGAGGGUCACUGCUCACUUUUGUCCCACUUUCAUGGUGGGAAACAUCUUGGUGGUCUCCAUUUUCCUCCUUACCUUUUCCUUCCCACUCCCCCACAGUUCAGAGUGACAUCUAGUGACUGGGACAACUCGUGGAAGGCUUUGCUCCUCUCCUGUGCCACAUGCACAUGUUUUAUAUAAAGAAGUGCCAGGUUUUGACCCUGAAAUGUGGCACCUUGACAAGGCAAGGCCCUGGGCUGGAGGAAUUUAUCAAGACAGGUUGAAGGAGAACCUUAGCUUGCAGCUCAUUCUUAUCUACUGUCCUACGUCCACUUCCCUUUGAAGUUGAUGGAAAGCUUUCCCUGAUUAUAAUGCAAGUCAGGCAAGUACUUAAAUAAAAUAUAAUUUCUUCUCCCUUUUUUCAUAAUUUUCAAUGUAUGUCUUCCCGCAUUUCACCAGAGAGGUUUUCUGGCAUGGAAUCUCUCUGUUUUAUUUUGUGGAGGUGGUAGGUGUUCAUAAACAAUGAACUUAGUCCAGGCUAAGUUCAUUAUUGCUGUUUUUCUGUACUUUUUGUGUUUCAUGUUCCCUUAUUUAAUUGUUUUGAAUAAAGCAAAACAAAACCAAAAAUUAAUUACUGAGUAUUUCCCCACAUUUCACAAACUUCCUUUUUGAGUCAUUGUUUGUGUGCCCUCCCUGGGAACUUGGUUCUGAUCUCUUCUGUUUUCUUGCUGAUGUGGUCUGAUAUGUUUUGAAAGCAGAAGGAUAAUUUAACCAAGCUAUGUUUCUAGCCCAGCCUUGCAUUUGGUAUCAUAAUUAACUUUAAAACAUGCGAUUGGUGAUUCUCUUGGGUAAAUUGUGAAAUUAAUGUUCAAUUACCUCUGUCUCUGAAUUCCAGAAAAUAGCAUGCAUUUUUCAGGAAAAGACUAUUUUGCAUUCUUUUGAGGUAUUCUUCAUGUAUGCUAAUUAAUUUUAAAACAAAUAAAGAAAAAAAACCCUUUUUGUAUGGGCAGGGA
This is a long non-coding RNA of Columba livia (rock pigeon), 2032 nucleotides long. RefSeq lists it as uncharacterized. The record is from RefSeq and is a predicted model, not a curated record. The transcript is spliced from 3 exons. Lineage: Eukaryota; Metazoa; Chordata; Aves; Columbiformes; Columbidae.